ACUGCUACCAUUGCAGACGCUGGUACUUCCUUUGCUGGCAUAUCUCAUUCUUCGGGUCCUUGGGUUCUUGAUUCUGGGGCCACCGAUCAUAUCACUGGACCGGAGUACGGGGAGGAUGAUUGGCUUCGGAUGUGAAUCUCAUGGCCUAUAUCGGCUU
Long non-coding RNA from Zingiber officinale, 157 nucleotides. RefSeq lists it as uncharacterized. The transcript has 2 exons. The record is from RefSeq and is a predicted model, not a curated record. NCBI's taxonomy places the organism in Eukaryota, Viridiplantae, Streptophyta, Magnoliopsida, Zingiberales, Zingiberaceae.